Molecule: long non-coding RNA, 2277 nt
Organism: Struthio camelus australis
Lineage: Eukaryota; Metazoa; Chordata; Aves; Struthioniformes; Struthionidae
Source: Ensembl
CAUAUUUCAGCUCCCUACCAUAAACCAUUGCUCUAGAACAAAUAUCCAAGGCAAAAAUAAAAGUUGGCCCUUUGCACUUCAAGCCUUAGUGCCACAGGCUUUGAAAACCUGCUGCAUCAGCCAGGGCCUCGCUUGGGCCUUGCUCAGAAAACAGUUGAACUUUUGUCCUCCCACUGGGAAUGUACGUGGCAAGAUGUGCUUUGCAGCAGUGUAAAGAACUGGGCUGUUCUCUGGAUGCAAUAUGAUAUAAAGAAAAAUCAAGAACGACAGUAGAAACACUCUGUGCUCAAAGUAGGACAGCAUGCCACACCCCGGGAGAAAAACACAGAAGUGUGCGUGCAGCAUAUCUGUGAGGCUGACUGCAAUUUCUCCCAUGCUGUAGGCACGCCAAACCUAGCAAGUCGCCCUGGGAACCACUGCCCGCGGCUGCUGCCGACUAUCGCCAGCCAUCAAAUUGGCAGCAUUUGGCAUCUGCCAGUGAGAGAAGCUGCUAGAUCAAGUGCUGUCGGUUGGACCGUGAGCUUGCUGAGGACUGGUGAGCACUUAGGAAGGGGAACACACAGCUGUGCAGCUGUGGUCAUAAGCUCCUGAUGCAACUAGUGCUCCACAAGCAGUUGAUUGCAAAGGAAGAAAUGCGCUACUGCCUUGAUGAAGAAAUGCGCUACUGCCUUGAUGAUGCAGCCUCCUGUUCCCAAGUAAGUAAUUUCUAUUCCAGCUGCUAAGUAGCCUUUAAAAGAGCUACAAUAUAUAUAUAAAAAAAGAGUAUGUCAUUCUCUCUUUUCAAAUUUUCCUUCUAUUAGAGAAGGUGAAGGUUCUUGAAUGUUGCUUAGGAUUUAAAGUUUUAAAUAGUAGGGGUUGUGGCCUGUGAAAAUGGAGCUGGAAGAUAGUUUUGGGAUUUCCAGGUACAGGCUCAUGAAGGUUAGAGGCGUUCUGAAAGUUAGGAUGCACAGCAGCUGCUGAGCUGACCCACUGCUCCUACCACCCACCGAGAAGCACUAGUGUCAGCGCUGAGAGUUGCCAGGAGAUAUAUAUUUUGGAACCUUGGUAGCGACUCUUUCAUGAUAUGCCACUUGCAGAUGAUAUACAGAGCAGCACACAGUUCAUCUAUUUGGUGAAAAUAUUAACUGCCAACCUUACGUUUGAUUCAAUCCUCUUUUGAUGCAUGAGGUGGCUGGCAGGACGCUGCAGCCAAAUGCUGCAAGCAGGGUCGGGGUUGGACCAGGGGGAGAGUGCAAAGCUUUCACAGCCUCACUGUAGGGUCAGGCCUGUGGGACUUUUCUGGUGCCUUCCCCUGCCCGACCAGUUGUACAUCGCCUAAACCAGAGGCUGCUGGCACAAAGGAUUGCAGAUUUCCUAGGACACCGGCAAAAUGGGUGCAAUUAGGUGGUGAAAAUGAGAUAUGGCAGUCUAAAGUUUCCAGCCUCAGCCAUUGCAACAGCUCCUCUUGUAACAACGAGUUAAAAGCUUAACCUGACUGUAAAACAAGGAUAAUAAUGUUCAUUUCUCAAGAACAUUAUUGUGAAUGCAAGUCUGGACCAGCGUAGGAAAAUCAACUCUAAGCAUUGCAUUAAUAAUGAUUAAGCCUGAUGCUAAUCCUGCCUAAAUUUCCACAUCACUGUCAUUUUUGAGUUGAAGCAGUAUUACUUCUUGGGUAUUAAUCUUCCAUUUUUCUUGCCUCUUGGCUUGGCUUUUUCUACACCCUCUAUUACAGAGCCUAAAUUUAAUGCAUGCUAAGCAGUUGUAUCCUUUAUUUCUCCAUUUCUUCAGCAAAAUUUCUCGUCGUUACAGUGUCAUUCUUUGGGAGAAAAACCAUUAGGUGCACUGAAGUUCUUCAGCCGGUGGUCGAAUCUGAAGUUACCUGACAACUUUAAGUAGCUUUGGAUACGAGGUAGAGUCUGAGGCAGAAAUACACCUUGACAUCAUACUUCCAAUAAGAGUGAAAUCUCAGCAGAGGAAAGAAUUUAGCCCUCUAAGUUGGAAAGUACUGUACAUUUUACUAGGAAUGAUACAAUUGGAUAUUCUUUGAAGUCCUUGCGUUGUAGGAGUAUAGGUGAAUGACAGAUAAGAAAUGUUGAGGUGUUGUUUUCUCUUCUGCCUCACUUGGCAAAGCCUUUUCACCAGCACUAAGGUGCUACCUCUCUCCAUGUAAAUACAAAAAUGUCUUCAUCAUAGAUUAGUCAUAAGGGAAGAAGUGAAGUCAGAGUAGAGUAUGCCAGCACACCUGAAAUAGCAUAGUAAUAUAGGGGAGAAAAACAAUAAAUAUCAACUGAAUAAUCA